RNAcentral lists this ribosomal RNA (105 nucleotides) under Drepanolejeunea anoplantha. RNAcentral's name for it is "partial 26S ribosomal RNA". It matches the Rfam family "Eukaryotic large subunit ribosomal RNA", at positions 1 to 104 of the family's 3401-position model. Lineage: Eukaryota; Viridiplantae; Streptophyta; Jungermanniopsida; Porellales; Lejeuneaceae. The record is from RNAcentral.
CGGACCUCAGAUCAGGCAAGACUACCCGCUGAGUUUAAGCAUAUCACUAAGCGGAGGAAAAGAAACUAACAAGGAUUUCCUUAGUAACGGCGAGCGAACCGGAAG